RNAcentral lists this long non-coding RNA (580 nucleotides) under Capra hircus (goat). RNAcentral's name for it is "lncRNA (ENSCHIG00010011669.1)". Lineage: Eukaryota; Metazoa; Chordata; Mammalia; Artiodactyla; Bovidae. The record is from RNAcentral.
UCUGCACUUUUCCGGGUGCGCUCCCUAAGCCAGAGCUGCGCCCACUUUCCGGUUUGAUCAAGAAGUUAUUUUCUUCGUGUCAGGAGGAAAUCCAACUGCCACUCACCGACCGCACACCAUCUCGUUAAAGGACCUGUUGACUUAACAACCUGCAUAUCGCGGGUUUGGUCUGCCUGUGGCAUAUGACUCAAAGGUUCAAAAAAACUUUGUUUCAGGAACCUGCCACGUCUGAACCUGGGUGUGCCAGGCCCAAAUUCCUUUCCCUGCCUAAUUAGGCUUUUCUGAAGCCUAAGAAAUGAGGGUGAAACCGGUGCUUACCUUAGAUUUUUAUUUUCUUUUCUUUCAAAGUCCAUCAAAGUACUUCCUUCUCUCUCAAAAACUCAUCCAAACACCUCAUUUUAAAAUUGAUCAAAUAACUAAUCAGAACUAAGAAACUAUAAGUAGCAAAUCAUCAUGAAAUUUUAUUCCACCAAUAAAGACAAACAGAAAUGGCUUCCUACCACUCCUCUGUUCAUUAACAUUUCCAACAGCAGAUGACAGGCACUUAAAAUUUCUGCCCAAGACUUAAGUGAAAGUCGCU